AGUGAACGCUGGCGGUAGGCCUAACACAUGCCAGUCGAACGGCAGCACAGUAAGAGCUUGCUCUUACGGGUGGCGAGUGGCGGACGGGUGAGGAAUACAUCGGAAUCUACUUUUUCGUGGGGGAUAACGUAGGGAAACUUACGCUAAUACCGCAUACGACCUACGGGUGAAAGCAGGGGAUCUUCGGACCUUGCGCGAUUGAAUGAGCCGAUGUCGGAUUAGCUAGUUGGCGGGGUAAAGGCCCACCGAGGCGACGAUCCGUAGCUGGUCUGAGAGGAUGAUCAGCCACACUGGAACUGAGACACGGUCCAGACUCCUACGGGAGGCAGCAGUGGGGAAUAUUGGACAAUGGGCGCAAGCCUGAUCCAGCCAUACCGCGUGGGUGAAGAAGGCCUUCGGGUUGUAAAGCCCUUUUGUUGGGAGAGAAAAGCAGCAGGUUAAUACCCCGCUGUUCUGACGGUACCCAAAGAAUAAGCACCGGCUAACUUCGUG
This 492-nucleotide ribosomal RNA is filed under the name uncultured bacterium. Its description in RNAcentral is "partial 16S ribosomal RNA". It matches the Rfam family "Bacterial small subunit ribosomal RNA", at positions 29 to 507 of the family's 1533-position model. The record is from RNAcentral.